UAAGUGCUUCGUUCUCACAACACACAUGUGACAGAGAUUCACAACAUGAGAAACAUGCCUUUGGUUUAAAAUCAGUUAAACUGUCAAUGUCCUCAGAGUCAGACCAUCUUAGGAGAUUCUCUGAGUUUAGUUAAGCUUAAUAUGCAUAGUGAAUGCAAAACUCUGUCGGUUUACUUGUCUGAUCUUUCAGAUGUAUAUACAUCAACAUUGAGCUAUAGUUAAUUUUAUAGAAAUGCUUGUCUAUUCUGUGUUUGUCUAAAGUAUUAUUUAAUCUAUACUGUUUGUGUAUGUUGCAGUGAUGAUCUGUGUCCAUUUUGCGUAUUAAACACCCACCCGAAUAACCAAAGGGGGCAGAGUCUGUGGACACAAUUUGCCCUAUCUUCAGUUCCUCUUGUCUGUCCUCCACAAGCAGAGACUCACUGAUAGACCACUGUUACCAGUUCUAGUGUUGACACAUCCACCCACGUCCCCACCACAAGUGUAUCCUGUACAGACACAGAACAUUGAGGGAAAAACAGAGAUGCUGUUGUCUGCUGCCUCAUUAACUACCUCGGUGAAAGACAAGAAGAUCUUUUCCAUGACUGCCAGUAGGAAUGUGAGGACUACACAGACAGAACAAAGAAGGUGAUUGUGAAGCACAAUGUCAUGGCUGAGGAGGAUCCAUCAGAUUUGUCUAUUGUGAUCCAGAGAAAACUAAGUGAUGGAAGGAUGUGGAAGCCGAACAAAGGCAUGCAUACUGCUGAUGGGACUCAUUUAUGCAAUCAACAUCGAAUAUCCAAAGGAGCUGAAGAACACGUUUGAAGCUUUUCAAAAACUUUUUUUUGGAAAUUGAUGGAGAAAAACUACUGAAAAAGGUCCACAGCCUCAAAAAUAAGCUCAUGCAGUAGACACACAUUUUCCCUCUUGUUCGAAGAGGAUCUUUUGUCUGGACAUACUUUUAAUGGAGUUGUAAUGGAGUGUAGUUUUAUAUUUUUCUUAUUUUCCCUUAUUUGCUCCACACACAGACACAAAUCUAUCCAGCCCACUCCAUUACUCUGUGAUUUCCCCCAGAUUGACAGAAAAGGAAUACCAAUGCAAAGUUAUAAAACAGGGGUCAUUACUUGAAAUUGUGGUGUAAAGCUGUUGUGCUGCACUAUAUUUUGAGUGUUUCACAGGAUUUUUUGGAUUAAAAAUAUUGAUCUGAUGAGCCAUCUGAAUGUCUUUAUUGUGGGGGGUACAUUUUACCUUUUCUGAAUAAAUAAUUGUUAUUAACUAUUAACUGAUUUGAAGAGAUAAUUUUUACCUAAUUUUAAUGAGUAAGUAGCUGUUGAAUAUAUACAUAAAUGUGAGGUAUUGUUACCCAAUUUAUGCAAGUAUUUAAUAGCUUUUUACUUGAGAUAGCUUAUACUC
Molecule: long non-coding RNA, 1389 nt
Organism: Paramisgurnus dabryanus
Lineage: Eukaryota; Metazoa; Chordata; Actinopteri; Cypriniformes; Cobitidae
Source: RefSeq, a predicted model, not a curated record